GACGAACGCUGGCGGCGUGCCUAAUACAUGCAAGUCGAGCGCAGGAAACUGACGGAACUCUUCGGAGGGAAGGCAGCGGAAUGAGCGGCGGACGGGUGAGUAACACGUAAGGAACCUGCCUCAAGGAUUGGGAUAACUCCGAGAAAUCGGAGCUAAUACCGGAUAGUUCAUCGGACCGCAUGGUCCGUUGAUGAAAGGCGCUCCGGCGUCACCUUGAGAUGGCCUUGCGGUGCAUUAGCUAGUUGGUGGGGUAACGGCCCACCAAGGCGACGAUGCAUAGCCGACCUGAGAGGGUGAUCGGCCACACUGGGACUGAGACACGGCCCAGACUACUACGGGAGGCAGCAGUAGGGAAUCUUCCACAAUGGACGAAAGUCUGAUGGAGCAACGCCGCGUGAGUGAUGAAGGUUUUCGGAUCGUAAAACUCUGUUGUAAGGGAAGAACACGUACGAGAGGGAAUGCUCGUACCUUGACGGUACCUUACGAGAAAGCCACGGCUAACUACGUGCCAGCCGCCGCGGUAA
RNAcentral lists this ribosomal RNA (524 nucleotides) under uncultured bacterium. RNAcentral's name for it is "partial 16S ribosomal RNA". It matches the Rfam family "Bacterial small subunit ribosomal RNA", at positions 28 to 523 of the family's 1533-position model. The record is from RNAcentral.